UAUUAAAAUUUUUAUCCAUUUCUACUAUGAAAAACUAGUGUAAUUGACAAAAUAACUAAAUAGUUCAACGUGAAGUGUAACUAUACCUCAUGUUGAGAUACAAGAUCAGUUUUUAAUAGUAAAAAUGGAUGAAAAUUUGUAUA
Molecule: non-coding RNA, 143 nt
Organism: Gossypium raimondii (Peruvian cotton)
Lineage: Eukaryota; Viridiplantae; Streptophyta; Magnoliopsida; Malvales; Malvaceae
Source: Rfam